Wasmannia auropunctata (little fire ant) is the source of this 309-nucleotide long non-coding RNA. RefSeq lists it as uncharacterized. The record is from RefSeq and is a predicted model, not a curated record. The transcript is spliced from 2 exons. Lineage: Eukaryota; Metazoa; Arthropoda; Insecta; Hymenoptera; Formicidae.
GAGAGCGUACUGUAAAGGCAGCCUUCCGGUCUUCGAUUCGGUGUAGCGACACUUUACUAGAAACUACGCGAAAACGAAAGUAUCGUCAUGUGCGACCUCGGCGAGAGGUGAGAGCGUACUGUAAAGGCAGCCUUCCGGUCUUCGAUUCGGUGUAGCGACACUUUACUAGAAACUACGCGAAAAGUAUUCGUCGUUCAAAAAGCACGUUUCGAUGUAUUAUAAUAUUAAGAAGAUCUAUCAAGUAUUAUUUCGACUUGUUAAAAGCCAAAUGUAAUUGUUUAAUGUAUAAAAUUCAGAAGUACUAUUAAA